Molecule: non-coding RNA, 94 nt
Organism: Mycena leptocephala
Lineage: Eukaryota; Fungi; Basidiomycota; Agaricomycetes; Agaricales; Mycenaceae
Source: the annotation of a GenBank genome assembly
GCCCUCGUGGAUCGUGGUGAUCGCUCCUACUUCAUGAUCGGGCGGUAUAUAAUCUGUUUGAGGAGAGGCGGAGGUUCGAAUCCUCCUGGGGGCA